GAUGAACGCUAGCUACAGGCUUAACACAUGCAAGUCGAGGGGAAACGACAUCGAAAGCUUGCUUUUGAUGGGCGUCGACCGGCGCACGGGUGAGUAACGCGUAUCCAACCUGCCCACCACUUGGGAUAACCUUGCGAAAGUAAGACUAAUACCCAAUGAUAUCUCUAGAAGACAUCUGAAAGAGAUUAAAGAUUUAUCGGUGAUGGAUGGGGAUGCGUCUGAUUAGCUUGUUGGCGGGGUAACGGCCCACCAAGGCUACGAUCAGUAGGGGUUCUGAGAGGAAGGUCCCCCACAUUGGAACUGAGACACGGUCCAAACUCCUACGGGAGGCAGCAGUGAGGAAUAUUGGUCAAUGGACGGGAGUCUGAACCUGCCAAGUAGCGUGUAGGAUGACGGCCCUAUGGGUUGUAAACUGCUUUUAUAAGGGAAUAAAGUGAGUCUCGUGAGACUUUUUGCAUGUACCUUAUGAAUAAGGACCGGCUAAUUCCGUGCCAGCCGCCGCUGUAA
This 507-nucleotide ribosomal RNA is filed under the name uncultured bacterium. Its description in RNAcentral is "partial 16S ribosomal RNA". It matches the Rfam family "Bacterial small subunit ribosomal RNA", at positions 28 to 523 of the family's 1533-position model. The record is from RNAcentral.